RNAcentral lists this transfer RNA (47 nucleotides) under Hemiselmis andersenii. RNAcentral describes it as "partial tRNA". Lineage: Eukaryota; Cryptophyceae; Cryptomonadales; Hemiselmidaceae. The record is from RNAcentral.
CAACUGAAGGGAUGUAUACUGGGCAAAAUAUUUAUUGUGGGAAACAA